This 72-nucleotide transfer RNA is filed under the name Rattus norvegicus (Norway rat). It matches the Rfam family "tRNA". Rfam says of the family: Transfer RNA (tRNA) molecules are approximately 80 nucleotides in length. Their secondary structure includes four short double-helical elements and three loops (D, anti-codon, and T loops). The record is from Rfam by way of RNAcentral. Lineage: Eukaryota; Metazoa; Chordata; Mammalia; Rodentia; Muridae.
GGGGAUUUAGCUCAGUGGUAGAGCGCUUGCCUAGCAAGCACAAGGCCCUGGGUUCGGUCCACAGCUCCCCCC